RNAcentral lists this ribosomal RNA (1013 nucleotides) under Klebsiella pneumoniae. Its description in RNAcentral is "bacterial SSU rRNA". It matches the Rfam family "Bacterial small subunit ribosomal RNA", at positions 531 to 1533 of the family's 1533-position model. The record is from RNAcentral. Lineage: Bacteria; Pseudomonadati; Pseudomonadota; Gammaproteobacteria; Enterobacterales; Enterobacteriaceae.
GGGGAGAGCGUAUCGGAUACUGGGCGUAAGCGCACGCAGGCGGUCUGUCAAGUCGGAUGUGAAAUCCCCGGGCUCAACCUGGGAACUGCAUUCGAAACUGGCAGGCUAGAGUCUUGUAGAGGGGGGUAGAAUUCCAGGUGUAGCGGUGAAAUGCGUAGAGAUCUGGAGGAAUACCGGUGGCGAAGGCGGCCCCCUGGACAAAGACUGACGCUCAGGUGCGAAAGCGUGGGGAGCAAACAGGAUUAGAUACCCUGGUAGUCCACGCCGUAAACGAUGUCGAUUUGGAGGUUGUGCCCUUGAGGCGUGGCUUCCGGAGCUAACGCGUUAAAUCGACCGCCUGGGGAGUACGGCCGCAAGGUUAAAACUCAAAUGAAUUGACGGGGGCCCGCACAAGCGGUGGAGCAUGUGGUUUAAUUCGAUGCAACGCGAAGAACCUUACCUGGUCUUGACAUCCACAGAACUUAGCAGAGAUGCUUUGGUGCCUUCGGGAACUGUGAGACAGGUGCUGCAUGGCUGUCGUCAGCUCGUGUUGUGAAAUGUUGGGUUAAGUCCCGCAACGAGCGCAACCCUUAUCCUUUGUUGCCAGCGGUCCGGCCGGGAACUCAAAGGAGACUGCCAGUGAUAAACUGGAGGAAGGUGGGGAUGACGUCAAGUCAUCAUGGCCCUUACGACCAGGGCUACACACGUGCUACAAUGGCAUAUACAAAGAGAAGCGACCUCGCGAGAGCAAGCGGACCUCAUAAAGUAUGUCGUAGUCCGGAUUGGAGUCUGCAACUCGACUCCAUGAAGUCGGAAUCGCUAGUAAUCGUAGAUCAGAAUGCUACGGUGAAUACGUUCCCGGGCCUUGUACACACCGCCCGUCACACCAUGGGGAGUGGGUUGCAAAAGAAGUAGGUAGCUUAACCUUCGGGAGGGCGCUUACCACUUUGUGAUUCAUGACUGGGGGUGAAUCUAAGGGGGAGACCCCCCAGAUAUAAAAAGGGGUUUUUUAAAAAAAACCCCGGGGGUAAAGG